RNAcentral lists this ribosomal RNA (253 nucleotides) under uncultured bacterium. RNAcentral describes it as "partial 16S ribosomal RNA". It matches the Rfam family "Bacterial small subunit ribosomal RNA", at positions 524 to 776 of the family's 1533-position model. The record is from RNAcentral.
UACGUAGGGUGCGAGCGUUAAUCGGAAUUACUGGGCGUAAAGCGUGCGCAGGCGGCGCGUUAAGACAGGUGUGAAAGCCCCGAGCUUAACUUGGGAAUUGCGCUUGUGACUGGCGUGCUGGAGUGUGGCAGAGGGAGGUGGAAUUCCACGUGUAGCAGUGAAAUGCGUAGAGAUGUGGAGGGACACCGAUGGCGAAGGCAGCCUCCUGGGCCAGCACUGACGCUCAUGCACGAAAGCGUGGGGAGCAAACAGG